GCCUGAAGUAAGCAAGACUACCCGCUGAACUUAA
RNAcentral lists this ribosomal RNA (34 nucleotides) under Vorticella similis. RNAcentral's name for it is "partial 28S ribosomal RNA". RNAcentral also lists the same sequence under 1 other name. Lineage: Eukaryota; Ciliophora; Oligohymenophorea; Sessilida; Vorticellidae. The record is from RNAcentral.